CAGGCCUAACACAUGUGAGUCGAGGGGCAGCAGGGCAAUAGCUUGCUAUUGCUGCUGGCGACCGGCGCACGGGUGAGUAACGCGUAUCCAACCUACCCCGCGGUCAGGGACAGCCCGGCGAAAGUCGGAUUAAUACCUGAUGCAGUCAGAAGAGGGCAUCUGAUUUUGACGAAAGAUUGAUCGCCUCGGGAUGGGGAUGCGUAGGAUUAGGCAGGCGGCGGGGUAACGGCCCACCGCGCCGACGAUCCUUAGGGGUUCUGAGAGAAAGGUCCCCCACACUGGUACUGAGACACGGACCAGACUCCUACGGGAGGCAGCAGUGAGGAAUAUUGGUCAAUGGGCGCGAGCCUGAACCAGCCAAGUAGCGUGCAGGAGGACGGCCCUAUGGGUUGUAAACUGCUUUUAUGCGGGGAUAAAGUGCGGCACGUGUGCCGUUUUGUAGGUACCGCAUGAAUAAGGACCGGCUAAUUCCGUGCCAGCAGCCGCGGUAAUACGGAAGGUCCGGGCGUUAUCCGGAUUUAUUGGGUUUAAAGGGAGCGCAGGCGGCCUUUUAAGCGUGACGUGAAAUGUAGGCGCUCAACGUCUGAAUUGCGUCGCGAACUGUUAGGCUUGAGUAGACGGAAUGUCGGCGGAAUUCGUGGUGUAGCGGUGAAAUGCUUAGAUAUCACGAAGAACUCCGAUUGCGAAGGCAGCUGACAGCAGUUUUACUGACGCUCAUGCUCGAAAGUGCGGGUAUCGAACAGGAUUAGAUACCCUGGUAGUCCGCACGGUAAACGAUGGAUGCCCGCUGUUUGCCUUUUUGGUAAGCGGCCAAGCGAAAGCAUUAAGCAUCCCACCUGGGGAGUACGCCGGCAACGGUGAAACUCAAAGGAAUUGACGGGGGCCCGCACAAGCGGAGGAACAUGUGGUUUAAUUCGAUGAUACGCGAGGAACCUUACCCGGGCUUGAACUGCACAGGAAUGCGGGAGAGAUCCCAAAGCCCUUCGGGGCCUGUGUGGAGGUGCUGCAUGGUUGUCGUCAGCUCGUGCCGUGAGGUGUCGGCUUAAGUGCCAUAACGAGCGCAACCCUUCUCUUCAGUUGCCAUCACUUCGGGUGGGCACUCUGGAGACACUGCCACCGUAAGGUGUGAGGAAGGUGGGGAUGACGUCAAAUCAGCACGGCCCUUACGUCCGGGGCUACACACGUGUUACAAUGGCGCGUGCAGAGGGCCGGCACUGGGCAAUCAGUGUCCAAUCCUUAAAACGCGUCUCAGUUCGGACUGGGGUCUGCAACCCGACCCCACGAAGCUGGAUUCGCUAGUAAUCGCGCAUCAGCCAUGGCGCGGUGAAUACGUUCCCGG
Molecule: ribosomal RNA, 1339 nt
Filed under: uncultured rumen bacterium
Lineage: Bacteria
Description: bacterial SSU rRNA
Rfam family: Bacterial small subunit ribosomal RNA
Source: RNAcentral